Non-coding RNA from Salvelinus sp. IW2-2015, 276 nucleotides. The record is from RefSeq and is a predicted model, not a curated record. Lineage: Eukaryota; Metazoa; Chordata; Actinopteri; Salmoniformes; Salmonidae.
GACAGUAUAUAUUUAACCUGCCCGUGAUAUUAUAACAAUGAGGUCUAACACAGUAAAUUACAGACCUACAACUAUCUCCCCCGUGAUAUUAUAACACUUAAUGAGGUCUAACACAGUAAAUUACAGACCUACAGACAGUAAAUCUCCCCCAUGAUAUUAUAACACUUAAUGAGGUCUAACACAGUAAAUUACAGACCUACAGACAGUAUAUCUACCCCAUGAUAUUAUAACACUUAAUGAGGUCUAACACAGUAAAUUACAGACCUACAGACAGUA